RNAcentral lists this transfer RNA (87 nucleotides) under Lysobacter sp. RNAcentral's name for it is "tRNA-Leu". It matches the Rfam family "tRNA". From Rfam's summary of the family: Transfer RNA (tRNA) molecules are approximately 80 nucleotides in length. Their secondary structure includes four short double-helical elements and three loops (D, anti-codon, and T loops). The record is from RNAcentral. Lineage: Bacteria; Pseudomonadati; Pseudomonadota; Gammaproteobacteria; Lysobacterales; Lysobacteraceae. RNAcentral also lists the same sequence under 1 other name.
GCCCGGAUGGCGAAAUCGGUAAACGCAGCGGACUUAAAAUCCGCCGACCGCAAGGUCCUGUCGGUUCGAGUCCGACUCCGGGCACCA